CAGCAAAACAGAUGUCGUGUACUGCUUCCACAUGUAGACCAACCAGAAUAAGACUCCAAUUCCAUCAAAUGUAAUUUAUUUAAAUAACAAUUCAAUUGCAUGUUAAGUAAACCAGUUGUAGCAAUAUAAAAAUACAGAAUUUUGAGAAAAUCUGGCAAAUUAAACCUGUAUCUAAAUGCAGCAUAUUCUGUGAUACUACGGAAUGAAAAAUAAAAUGUGUUGACUUUCAAGUCAGGAUGAUUUAUUUGCACUUAAAAAUAUAAUUUCUAAGAUGACAUCUGUUUUCAAAAACAUCCUAAUGGUAAAAACAGGCUACAGGAAUUGUUGUCAUCAUGUUGAAAUUUUAGAUUUUAUAUUAGCAUUAGCUUAAAAAUCAUAGACAAUAACAUUAACACAAAAUCAGCAAGAGAACACUCAUUGGGAACAGUUUUUAUGUUAAAAAUAUCAGAGGUUCACAGUUUUCUUCUUUUUUCUUGACUUACAUUGAUAAAAUGCUUUGAUAGCUACAAUCAAUUUCACCUUCUAGUACCAGAUCCAAUGCCUCCUUGAUCAGCAGAUGGAUGUUACUAACACAUUCAUUUUAUAUAGAACUCACACAUAUUCAGUUUCUAAAAAUGUUUUGCUCUGCAAAACUGUGACUGCUGAGAGUGGGAAAGAUUGGAGACUAAAAUGUAAUGAGAAGAGAAAAAGAUAAAAUGCUGACAAUUUUUACUAACAGAACAUUAAAUUAUAAAGUACAUACAGGUAGCUUUUAUGAUUCAACAAGAAACUUCACAUUAGUUUACAAAGUGCUAUGGACUCUAAUUUUAUUUUUGUUUAAUCCAAACAAAAGUGAAAACCACACAUUAUCAAAGAAUUCUGAACUCCUUCUACAUGUCAAGUUAACAGAGGUUUUGAGGUGGGCAGACCACAAGACAGGUUUAUUUUGUAUGUUUUAAGGCAAAGCAAAAUCUCCCAAAUGAAACAUCUACAAAAUACAUUUGCUUUGAGAAUAAAUUUCAGUAAUAAAAAAAUACUUCUCAUUUAUUAAAUAUACAUAUUUGCCUUUACAUUUGAUUUAGCAAUGUGAAUCAAAAAAUGCAAGUGUUCUGUGAACAUCUGCAAAUCAAUAUUUUUAAACACCAAUACAGAAAUGAGUCAGUUUUCAUUCAGGUGUUUGGAUGUUAACAGUCAGCAAAAGAAAAAAAAAAAUAGACUACUUAUGGAAUUUUCCCUAACACAAUAUGAGAAUGCAACAUAUUUUUGAGAAUUAAGUAAUUUUUCUGGACCAUACAUAUCAGUGAAACACAUAUGUUCUCCUUCUGCAAAUAUUAAUUAAAGAGAACCCAACAGUGCUUAAACCAUUAAAUUUAACCAACAGCCUAAGAUUUAAAAUGUUUACCAUAAUCUCUGUUUAUGUAAAUUAUUUUCUUAAAGAAAAAACAAAACACUCUAUAGAACAUAACUGUCUACUUUGAAGAAUAAAUCACUUUGGGGAAAAAAUGUGAAUAAAAGCUGAACUCGGCCAGGCAUGAUGGCUCACGCCUGUAAUCCCAGCACUUUGGGAGGCUGAAGUGGGCGGAUCACCUGAGGUCAGGAGUUCGAGACCAGCCUGACCAACAUGGAGAUACCCUGUCUCUACUAAAAAUACAAAAAUUAGCCGGGUGUGAUGGCACAUGCCUGUAAUCCCAGCUACUUGGGAGCCUGAGGCAGGAGAAUUGCUUGAACCCAGGAGGCAGAGGUUGUGGUAAGCCAAGAUCGUGCCAUUAAACUCCAGCCUGGGCAACAAGAGCAAACUCUGUCUCAGGGAAAAAAAGAAAAAAAAAGGGUGAACUCAUUUAUUAUCCCCAAAAUUGCUACCUGGACGUUUGUCUACAUUAAAAAUAGGAAUGACUUAAAAUGUCUACAUGAUUUCCAAAGCAAAGAGUGUCAUACCUUCAAAUUGAUUAAGACCAUUGUAUUAGUCCAUUCUCACACUGCUAUGAAGAAAUAUCUGAGACUGGAUAAUUUAUUUAAAAAAGAGGUAUAAUUGACUCACAAUUCUGCAUGGCUGAGAAGGCCUCAGGAAACUUAGAAUAAUGGCGGAAGGCAAAGGGAAAGAAAGGCACCUUCUUCUUCACAGGGCGGCAGGAAAGAGAAGUGCUGAGCAAAGGGGGAAAAGCCCCUUAUAAAACCAUCAAAUCUCGUGAGAACUCAAUCACUAUCAUGAGAAUAGCAUGGGGAAAACUGCCCCCAUGAUUCAGUCACCUCCCACUGGGUCCCUCCCAUGUGGGGAUUAUGGGAACUACAAUUCAAUAAGAGAUUUGGGUAGAGACACAACCAAACCAUAUCAACCACACAGCACUUCAAAAUAAUACAAUUCCUUUAAAAAUGAAAUAAUAUUCUUUAUUAUACUUAUUUUUUAUUCAAAGUUUUUGGCUACAAGUCUGCUACACUGAGACCAAUUUAUUUCUUUCCCAAAUGGUGCCCAACAGACUACCAAUAAUUAAAACUAAUUUACUAGAAAAUACUAAGCAGCAAUAAAACUGAAGGUGUCACUGGGAUAUGCCAGCACCCCUUAAAUUUGUUGUUUAAAUUAGUGUUUCUAAAAACUAUGGCAUUAAUAUACAAGGUAUAUUGUAUGUUAAUAUUCAACAAGUUUCACAUAAUGAAGUUUGUUAUUAAAGUGCCUUAAUUUUCCCUAUUAAAUAUCCAAUCUGUAGGCAUUCUUUUCAGUUAAAUACAGUGAGCCAGCUGCUUUGAUUUUUCCAUGUGAUGUCCUGUUACAGUAUUACUGUGCUAAACACAUAUCAUGGGUACAUUGUAAGCAGAAGGGAAUGGGGUGUAGACUUCCUCUGAAGCUAGAUCCACCUAUCUCCUCUGGAUAAUUCAGGCCAAGAACCUGCUCAGCCAUCUCAGUCCACUAAACAGUCCUUGCAUCAUUUCUUUCUGCAGUUAUGAAGUUACAAAAUGACUAGAAUGGACUUCAACAGUCCUCUAAGAGGACAGUCUGUCAAGAUCAGAUAGCAGCUGCUCAACAUAAAAGAUAUCUUCCCUGAUGAUAAAUUCUGAUGUGUCCUUUUCAUUACAUUUCAAGUUCAACAUUUCAAAAUAACUAAAUCUAACAGCAAAUGUGUAAAAGACAAAACUACCAACAAUAGGCAGCAGAAACAAGCAAUCUAACACUUAAAGACAAAAAUAUGUAAAUAACUGGACUCGGGGAGGAAGGACUAGGAUAAGAAAUCCUGCAUUUCUUUGGAAAGAACUGUAUAAAACAAUGUCUAUUUAUUAUUUGUAAGUAGUUUUGUAUAUAGCUAUCUAUAGAUACAUGUAUCUUAUGAAGAAAUAUCUGAAGAGAUUUAAAAUGUCUUAAUUAUAUAUAUGCAUAUCACUUAGGUAUCAUACACAUUCAAAAAUAAAUUAUUCUCUAAAUGGGUAACAUGUGUCCACAAACCUUUAUUUUAUAUAUAUAUAUAUAUAUAUAUAUAUAUAUAUAUAUAUAUAUAUAUUUUUUUUUUUUUUUUUUUUUUUUUUGAGACAGGGUCUCACUCUGUCACCUGGGGUGGAGUGCAGUGGCAUGAUCUUAGCUCACUGUAGCCUCAAACUCCUGGGAUCAAGCAAUUAUCCCACCUAAGUCUCCCUAGUAGCUAGGACUACAAGUGCACUCCACCAUGCACGGCUCAUUUUUUUUUUUUUUUUUUUUUUUGUAAAGACAGGUUCUCACUGUAUUGCCCAGGCUGGCCUCAAACCCCUGGUCCCAAGUGACGCCCCCCAACUUUGGCUUCCCAAAGUUUUAGGAUUACAGGCGUGAGCCACCAUUGCCAGCCUCUAAAAACCUUUAAAUAGUAAUACUGGCCUAGUUGAGAAAGUCAGUGUUGAAACAUUAAUAACAAAGCAAUGGAAAAGAUUCCACUAGAUUUCUCAGAAUAAUUUUAUCUUAGAAAAUAUUGGGCCAGGCAUGGUGGCUCACGCCUGUAAUCCCAGCACUUUGGGAGGCCAAGGCGGCCAGAUCACCUGAAGUUGGGAGUUCGAGACCAGACUGACCAACAUGGAGAAACCCCAUCUCUACUAAAAAUACAAAAUUAGCUGGGCAUGGUGGCACAUGCCUGUAAUCCCAGCUACUUGGGAGGCUGAGGCAGGAGAAUUGCUUGAACCUGGGAGGCAGAGGUUGCAGUGAGCCUAGAUCGUGCAAUUGCACUCCAGCCUGGGCAACAAGAGCGAAACUCUGUCUCAAAAAAUAUAUAUAUUAAUCAUGAAAUCUAUCUUCUCAAAGAUGUGAAUCACUCUUCUAUAACUCUAACAACUGUACUUUGUAAAAAAGAAUGUCUGUAAAAUCAAAUUAAAAUCAUCAUCUCAAAAAUAAAAUUUCUUAAUCUAGUACAUAAGGAGUUUGGCGGAGGGAGGGCAGAAUAAUGUUCAAAUAUGCCAAUGACACUGACCAUCUGCAGAUAAACACGAUCAAAUGAAAGUUUAAGGGCACUUUAAAUAGAAAAAGCAAACUUCACAGAUAUGUAUGUGAAGCACAAAUCAGGUGAUCAUAGUAGACAGCAAGUAAAAGCCAGAACUCCGCAAAGCAGGCUAUUGGGAGGCCUUUAAGAAGUGCAGCACGUAUGAGUGAAUGCUUCCUCAGCAUUCAGCACCAUUCCCACAUGUGCUGUAAGCCAUUCCGGGUGCUCCGCAGCCAUGUGUGGCGAGGGGCUACUGUACUGGACAGAGCAAGACUGAGGGGAAACAACACGGUUUACAGGCUCAUGAGGGCAAGGUAAUUUUCUAAGAUCCAUUCCAGGCCCAAGGAAUCACAAAAUCUUAGGGUAUUAAAACAUCACUGGAGUCUUCGUCAACUCAUUUUAACUAAAUGUAUUUGAAUUUAAGAUUUCUAAAUAUGCAGAGUAUAAAUACAAAAAAAAAAAACAGAAAUGGAGGGAAAUGAAUGAAGCAUUAGAUAAUUCCAGAAGAUUUUCCAGUUAGCCACAAAGAUCUUUUUAAAAAUUAUUUUUAAUGUCCAAGCUGGAGGAAAACCCUCCUAUUUAUGAAGAUCAACAGACUAGACUCACUUUAAAAAGGAGUGGAUCACGAGUUCAGGAGAUCGAGACCAUCCUGGCUAACACGGUGAAACCCCGUCUCUACUCAAAAUACAAAAAAUUAGCCAGGCGUGGUGGCGGGCGCCUGUAGUCCCAGCUACUCGGGAGGCUGAGGCAGGAGAAUGGCGUGAACCUGGGAGGAGGAGCUUGCAGUGAGCAGAGAUUACGCCACUGCACUCCAGCCUGGGUGACAGAGCGAGACUCUGUCUCAAUAAAAUAAUAUUAAAUUAAAAUAAAAUAAAAGGAGUGGAAAGUAUUAACACCGGGGAUUGUUAGUGUCUAUCACAACUACCUCUAAUAGUAGCUUUGAAAGAGAAAACAUUCACUUUUAUUUGAAAUGGUAGGGGGGGAGCAUUUUUUCUUUACACACUCCCUGCUGAUUUGAAGCCCUAAUAAAAGAAUCAUAGAGUGACCUCAAAGUUCAACUAGUCUAAGCUUGCAGGACAGGCAGAAAUGACAGUCACAUUAGCCCUGCUUAAACUCACCCCUUUGCAGAAGAACUGGUUAUUGAUUUUAGACUGUUGGGUUUUCCGAUAAUGAAAAAUCUUCCUCGGCACUGAUUAAUCUGGAAUUCAGCUUCCUACAGCCUUUAUCCACUUGUCUCAUUUCUGCCCUCUGAGGAUAAAGACAGGAUCAAUGGACUUAAUUUUCCUAUAUAACUUGGAAACUUCUUGUAUCAGGGAGCAUAGAAAACAUUAACAUAUAUGUCCAGAUAAGAGCUGAUACAGUUCACCUUUCAUUCCUUGUCAGGGGGAAAUCAUGCCUUCCUUGUCACCAUUCCUACAAAGCACAAAGUUACUUAAAUUUAUACAGCACCAAUCAGAACCCUGCCUCUCCAUUAAGGAAAAAAAAAAGGCAAUUAUGCCAGGAACUACAUGAAUUGCACUGUCAGACACAAUGGCAACCCAACCCCAUCAUAAAUGCCCCUCAAAAAACUAGAUAAAACUGUCACUUCAGUAUUCAUUCUUCACAGAACACCCUAAUGACUCCAAAAUGCAAUAUUAGCUGAUGCCCAAGAAGUUGGUGCCACUACAAUAUCUUGAACAUAGCAGGAAACAUAAAUAUUUGUAGCAUUUUGAUAUUACAGUACUAAAAGAUCCACUGGAUAUACUGUCCAUAGUAUCAGGUAACUGCAUAAAGAAUAGGAAACAAAAAUAAAACAAAAUAUAAAUAACAAAAAAGAUUUUUAAAUGGAGAUGAAUUUCUUUUAUAUUUGUUUAGUAAUGCAGAGUUAAAAUAAAAAUGGCCACUCUAAGCUUAAAACUGUUUCAUUUUAUCCCCAAAAGAGAAUUUGUUACUGACUUGCAGCACUGACUUGCAGCUUCUCACAGUAACAAUGUAAGAAUAUAUGCUCAGUAUACCCACAGUCACAAUGUGAGUGUGCGCUUUCAAAAAUAAUGUUACCAAAGCUCUUCUAAGAGCUUUUUUCCAAAAAGCUUUUUUUGGAAAACUUUUUUCCAAAGCUAUACACAAAUAAUUUUUAAUGUAUUUUCCACUACUAAUUAUAAUGACAGUUAAUUUUAUUUUCUAUUUUGUCUGUACCUAAAGUUGUAUUACUAAUAACACAUUGAUAUCUACCGCCAUUGAUAUCUAUCUUUCAUUGGAUAUACAUCCUCAGUGUUGGUCAAGAAUCAGUACCUUGAAGAAAACAAGCCACACACUGCUUGAUACAGGUCCAUGUGGCAGGGAACGGCAGGAGCAGGUUCAUAUAACCUGGGUAGCCUACUGUCAACAUCAAACACAUGAAUACACAGUAAGCUAUUUGCUAAACAAUAUUAAUUUUCACAUUAAA
This 6831-nucleotide long non-coding RNA is filed under the name Homo sapiens (human). Its description in RNAcentral is "HSALNT0146950". The record is from RNAcentral. Lineage: Eukaryota; Metazoa; Chordata; Mammalia; Primates; Hominidae.